AGAAAAUCAAGAAUUCUCUACAAAUCACUCAUAUCCAAUAUGAGGUUCGUGGAACUACAUACAUGAUAUGACAAAGAACAUAUCACUCUAGGUGCAUAUGAUUGGCUGUAAGUAGCCACAAUCAUAAGCAUGAUAAGUGGUCUUCAGUCGGCUGUACUCCAAAUAUUCACAAAAGAAUAUGAAUUCGACACUGCACAGGUUAAGGUCAGAUGGUGGUGGUGGCCUUCAGUUGGCUGUACUCCAAUUCUUCACAAAAUAAUAUGAAUUCGACACCAUAUGAUUGGUUGUAUUGGUGGACAUCGUCAUUGGCGACACCUUCCGCGACUUAGAUGUCACCGCAAGGAGCAUUGGUCUGGCCUCUGCCACCAACCCACAUGGCGAAACCAUGGCUGCCCCUAGACUGGAACAACUUGUUGGCUCGCGGCUAGAAAAAGAUCAAAGGACAUAUUAUGCAGUGUUUACAUUCGAUUCCACAAAAACAAAUAAAUAUAAAAAUAUCAGUGUAAGGAAUAUGUGCUAAUGAAUUUUAUCCAGACUGGGCGCACAAUUAGGAAAUAGCAAAAACAAGAAGUCGAAGACACAAGCAAAUAAUUGAUUUAAAGUUUUGACAGGAAAAUCAGCAUAAAUGAAGAUAAAAUUUUGAAAAUCCAAGAAGCACGGACUCCAUAUCUAAUACAUGAAAGAAAAGUAAAUCCACCAUCAGUUCCCUGAACCACUAAGGCAAGCGAUUGGUGUAGCAAGACAUAAUGGAGCUGCAAAACAGGUUAAGUUGGAGCUGAGCAUCCUAACUUAACAUAGUACCACAUCUUUCUCAUUUUGAACAGAAUUACAUGUUAAAUAAGAAAUGAUAAUUCAUGUACAUCAGGUAGAGUCCAGCAGAAAAUCAUUUCUCUAGUUAGAUUAGAUCCCAUUUGCAGAUUUGGCAAUGCUGCAGUUAGUUUCAGUCGCUUCACUGAACACAAACCAUAUCCUGUAGAUUUAUUUUGACUUUAAUUCCCUCUGCUCUAAGCCUCUAACUACCAGGGAAUCCACAUUCAUUCUCAUGGGAUGUGCAUUAGUAUGAAGAACACACACAUAUAUGCUAAGUUUAGGUAGUCUGUACAACUGCAAAAUAUUUGUAGCCUUGUGAUAAGACAUCAUAUUUCACAUGCAUGAUUUAGCAAGUAAAUCUGACUUCUCACUUGAAUGCACCUGAAAAUAAACCUUGACUUCAGACUGUUGCAACAAAGCUACAUUUUAAGUGCAGUACAUAUCAAGCAUAGAAUGAAAGAGAUCACUUAAGAGGCAAAAAAUGUCCAACAUUGUAGUAAUUUUGUAGUUCAAAAAAUCACAGUAGGAUUCCUAGAACGGGAAGACCUCAGAUCUUGGAUCUCGCUGCUCUUGGACAGGGAAGACCUUGAAUCUUAGGUUUCUUUUCUCCUAGUCCAGGAAGACGUCAAAGCUUGGGACUGGCUGCUCGGAGACCUGCUGCUAUUGGUCGGCGGCCGCAGCCACGGCGACCAACAACCCUUCUUGCUCUUGGUUGCACCGACCAACAAGCGACCUGCUGGUUCUUGCUUCUUUGGAGCAUUUACACAGACAAAGACAGUACAAGAAAGGGGAGGGCUCCUGUUAAUAACAAUAUUAACAUGAGAAAUGUCAUGGGAUUUUUACCACAAACUCGAAUUCCAGUCCGAGAAGAUAGCAGAGCACGCCCAUGCGUUGCUACGGGGUGGAGGGGCAAUGGUUGGAGAGAGAGGGGUGCACGGAGGACUUCCGCUGAGUGCAUUUUUUCUCGACUUUGAAGCACAUUCAUCCAGUUAAUAAUUCAAAGAAUUUUAGAAGUAAGAGCACACAUGAUGUUUUUCGUCUCGACUUCAAUACGACGUUGUCGGAUUAGACGGUCAAUAUCCCAUAAGAAAAGACCAACUUCAUCAAAGAAUCAAGUAUAGUGGCAACUUACAAAAUAGGUUUUGCCGUUUUGGUAUAUAACCAAACCUAAAUCUCAUCACAAUGACAAAGCAGUUGUCACCCUGUAUCCAACCCUAUGGAUUCAAAUCAAGUCUGAAAAUUGAUGUUAAGUAGAAAAGGACUGUCCCAUCACAAGCUAGAACACUUCCUCUUGUUAGAAUCCAAGAAAACCUUAAAGCAUUAUCUCCUCCAAAUGACUUCUUCCCAUUUAAAAAAGAAAAAAGGCAUUGAACUGUUAUUUGACCUUAUACAUGCGUCUAGACCCUCCAAGGCCAGCAUACCGCUAUUCACAGCACAAGCAUGCCCACGGGCAGCAACGGAGAAAAAGGACAAAAGUUGGUUUAGAUAGAUCGAUCAUACAGUUGGCAAAUAUAUAUGUUGACACGUUUCAUGGUAUCAUGUAGUUUCGUUUUGUCCAUCUACGUGGACAACAUGUCUGCAGAUGCUAUUUCCGGACAUUGACAUGGCAAGGUAACUCAAACACUCAAUACAGCGAUAUCAAUAUGCCAAUUGAUGAAACAGUCAACAACAACGGGUUUAUUUCCUAAUACCCUUUGAAUCUACAUGGACUGACCAUUCUAAUUGUGCAGUUUUAGGCAGUCAUGUCAACAAAGAAGAAACCGGGAUUCAAUAUCAAUGCUCCCAAGGGAGAAGAUGUGCAACACCUAGUUGUGUGUGCCUGAUAUUUAAUCUAGAAGAAAUAAUCAUGAAGAUAAAUACAACAAGAUCAGACCAUCUGUUCUAUGCUUAACUAAAAGGAACGUAGUAACAACCACUGAUAAACAUGUACAAACAUUAUCAAAGAGAACCUAUUCCACUGAGCUAAUUAUUCAGGAAGCAGUAGUGAAGAUUAUAAAUGACAACAGGUGGCCACUGAGAGCACACGAUAAUACUACCUGAGGUCAUGACUAUCUCACGCUUGGUAAAAUCCACAUCGGAAACAAUCCAGGUGCUACUAAUUUGUCCUUAAUUUGAGGCGAAUAUUCUCCUAAAACCGAUCUUGAAGGAAGCUUGAGAUAACCGACGUAUCCAUCGCACAGAUUUCGAAUCAACCCAAACCUAAUCGACCAAAUCAACAUCACGACGCUAACAAGUCAUGUUGAAUUGACCGUGUUCGCCCAAGUACAACAUCAGUGCUGCGGCGAGAAGGGGAAGCGGGAUGAGCUUGCACGUACCUUGGUCGAUCUCGAACUCGUCGUCGUCCUCGAGGAGGUCCAUCUUGGCGGCCUCCGCCUUCGCGUCCGCCGGUGCUGCUGCCGCCAUCGAUGCUGGUGCUAGUAACCUGCGACGCAGUCGAGUAGAUCAAGAGGGUCAGCAGAGAGGUCCCGAUUAGUUCGUGCGUGCUGGGGAUUGUGGGGGCGGAUGAAGGAUCAAGAACCCCACCAACCUGAUUCGCGUGGAGAAGAAGAAAGGGGAACCCUAGACCUGGGGGUGGCUGCGCAUCGCGAGCCCUCCGCCGCCAGAAGCUGCCUCUGGCCACGGAUCCAGUCCUUGCAUCGCCUGUAGCCGCCGCGCCCUCUUUUUUUUUAGGGAUGCCGCAGGGUUCUUUU
This 3500-nucleotide long non-coding RNA is filed under the name Triticum aestivum (bread wheat). RNAcentral describes it as "long non-coding RNA (TAES_LNC024451)". Lineage: Eukaryota; Viridiplantae; Streptophyta; Magnoliopsida; Poales; Poaceae. The record is from RNAcentral.